UGAACUUGAAAGAACUGCAAA
This 21-nucleotide non-coding RNA is filed under the name Arabidopsis thaliana (thale cress). Lineage: Eukaryota; Viridiplantae; Streptophyta; Magnoliopsida; Brassicales; Brassicaceae. The record is from RNAcentral.